This 721-nucleotide ribosomal RNA is filed under the name Nocardioides opuntiae. RNAcentral's name for it is "bacterial SSU rRNA". It matches the Rfam family "Bacterial small subunit ribosomal RNA", at positions 21 to 758 of the family's 1533-position model. The record is from RNAcentral. Lineage: Bacteria; Bacillati; Actinomycetota; Actinomycetes; Propionibacteriales; Nocardioidaceae.
GGCUCAGGACGAACGCUGGCGGCGUGCUUAACACAUGCAAGUCGAGCGGAAAGGCCCUUCGGGGUACUCGAGCGGCGAACGGGUGAGUAACACGUGAGUAAUCUGCCCCGCGCUUUGGGAUAGCCACCCGAAAGGGUGAUUAAUACCGGAUACGACCACUCCUGGCAUCGGGUAGUGGUGGAAAGUUUUUUCGGCGUGGGAUGUGCUCGCGGCCUAUCAGCUUGUUGGUGGGGUAAUGGCCUACCAAGGCUUCGACGGGUAGCCGGCCUGAGAGGGUGACCGGCCACACUGGGACUGAGACACGGCCCAGACUCCUACGGGAGGCAGCAGUGGGGAAUAUUGGACAAUGGGCGGAAGCCUGAUCCAGCAACGCCGCGUGAGGGAUGACGGCCUUCGGGUUGUAAACCUCUUUCAGCACAGACGAAGCGCAAGUGACGGUAUGUGCAGAAGAAGGACCGGCCAACUACGUGCCAGCAGCCGCGGUAAUACGUAGGGUCCGAGCGUUGUCCGGAAUUAUUGGGCGUAAAGGGCUCGUAGGCGGUUUGUCGCGUCGGGAGUGAAAACCUACAGCUUAACUGUGGGCUUGCUUUCGAUACGGGCAGACUUGAGGCAUGCAGGGGAGAACGGAAUUCCUGGUGUAGCGGUGAAAUGCGCAGAUAUCAGGAGGAACACCGGUGGCGAAGGCGGUUCUCUGGGCAUGUUCUGACGCUGAGGAGCGAAA